UGGGGAAUAUUGCACAAUGGGGGAAACCCUGAUGCAGCGACGCCGCGUGAGCGAAGAAGGUUUUCGAAUCGUAAAGCUCUGUCCUAUGGGAAGAUAAUGACGGUACCAUAGGAGGAAGCCCCGGCUAACUACGUGCCAGCAGCCGCGGUAAUACGUAGGGGGCAAGCGUUGUCCGGAAUCACUGGGCGUAAAGGGUUCGCAGGCGGAAAUGCAAGUCAGUUGUGAAAGUCAGAGGCUCAACCUCUGUAAGCAAUUGAAACUGUAUUUCUUGAGAUGUGGAGAGGCAAGUGGAAUUCCUAGUGUAGCGGUGAAAUGCGUAGAUAUUAGGAAGAAUACCGGUGGCGAAGGCGACUUGCUGGACACAAACUGACGCUGAGGAACGAAAGCGUGGGUAGCAAACAGG
Molecule: ribosomal RNA, 403 nt
Filed under: Fusobacteriota bacterium
Lineage: Bacteria; Fusobacteriati; Fusobacteriota
Description: Fusobacteria bacterium partial 16S ribosomal RNA
Rfam family: Bacterial small subunit ribosomal RNA
Source: RNAcentral